This 1455-nucleotide long non-coding RNA is filed under the name Strigops habroptila (Kakapo). RNAcentral describes it as "lncRNA (ENSSHBG00005018387.1)". Lineage: Eukaryota; Metazoa; Chordata; Aves; Psittaciformes; Psittacidae. The record is from RNAcentral.
UUUUUUUUUUUUUUUUUUGAGCUUAGUUUAUCAUUUUCAAAAGUGAUCCAGGAGUCUACAUUUUAUCAAAGUUAUUUAAGAUAUUGAAAAAUAAUUUAAAAAAACAGUCAAUAAGUGAAUUGUGAGUUGUACAUUUGUCCAGUGCAACCACAACUCAAUGCAUACAUCACUGUUGUGGUUUAAGCCCAGAUGGCAACCAAGUACCACACAGCUGUUAAAUUUGGCUGCCACACUGGGAUGGGAAGGAGAAUUGAAAAAACAAGGAAAGAUAAAACCUGUGGGUUGAGGUACAAACAGACACAACACCCUGGGGCUGUGCCAAGCACGUCCUGGAGGAGCCAGUGUCUGCUCUCCUGAAGCCCAGGGUGAGGAAAGCAGCUGAGAUGGAGGCUCGGGGAGACACUCCUCUCUUUUCCUGGUCCUGCAGAAGAGGACUGCAUGUGGGAGGAGCAGCCCCAGCGAGAAUGAGCAUCGUAUUUAGGGAGUCUCUUCUUCGGUGAAACAUGGUGCUCUUCCUCACUUUGGGGCACCCCCAAGAGCUUUGUGGUGGCAGCCACAUGGUGGCAUGCUGCAAACAGUGCCAGGCCCUCCUUGCUGCCCUGCUCCACCCCUCCCAUGGACCGGGUGACUGGGGAGCUCCCAGCAUUGGGGCUGAGUUGCUGCCCACACCUGCCUGCCACCUUUCAGACUCUGCUUCCUAGGAAGCAGGCCGAAAUGUUGGUGUCGAGAGUUUUGGGGACCACGUCUGCCACAGCAAGGGCAGCCGAGCAUGGGGUGAGGCUGCUCAGGGGGGACCACGGCCUCUCAGUGCCUUCUGGGCCCCAGAGACAGAAGCAAAGACUAAACACUCAUGGAGAUUUCAACUGGAAAAUGCUGGCAGGGGGGAGGUGGCUCUUUGGUAGUCCACAAAGGCUCUGCCUUUGAGCAGAAUCCUCUCAUUGGAGGUCCCAGGCCAUGCCAGGCAUCAAAGUGGCCCUUUCUGUCCUUCCCUAGCACUCCAGGGGAGCAGGAGGCAGGACGUUUGUGAGCAGUUAUCUGGUACCCAGAGGAAGACCCAACCCUGGCAUGGCUUUCAGCAAAAUCCCCCCUUGGCACAGCAGCUGGCAAAUCUCCAGCCUUCUCCUUCCAUGCCAGCAAUAAGACAUGGGAGCAGGCUAGCAUGUGGCUCAUGUCACAGCUCACAACAUCUGUCUGCUUAACCUGAGACGUGGUGCCUCCAGCGCUGGGCCAUGUUCCCAUGUUUCAUACUACAUCCCCAUUAAUAUUGCAGGGUGCCACACUGCUGCAGGUACUGUGUAACCCACUCUGGAGCUGUGGCUGUAUUGCAGGGUGGUGUCAGCUCAUGUCCCCACAAGAGCCACCCUGUGUCAGGGGUCAGCCUGUGCCAGGGCUGAGGAGGGACUGAGAGGCUGAAUCUGUAAUGGAUCCUCACCAGGCAAUUGUUGCUUAAGGCUU